AGGGCACCACCAGGAGUGGAGCCUGCGGCUUAAUUUGACUCAACACGGGAAAACUUACCCGGCCCGGACACUGGAAGGAUUGACAGAUUGAGAGCUCUUUCUUGAUUCAGUGGGUGGUGGUGCAUGGCCGUUCUUAGUUGGUGGAGCGAUUUGUCUGGUUAAUUCCGGUAACGAACGAGACUCUGGCCUACUAACUAGACGUUAGAUCCUUUAUGGGUUUGACGAUGCUUCUUAGAGGGACGGGCGGCUUUUAGCCGCACGAGAAUGAGCAAUAACAGGUCUGUGAUGCCCUUAGAUGUUCUGGGCUGCACGCGCGCCACACUGAAGAAAUCAGCGUGUGUUCCCUAUCCGAAAGGUUUGGGAAACCCGUUGAACCUUCUUCGUGAUGGGGAUUGGGGAUUGUAAUUAUUCCCCAUGAACGAGGAAUUCCCAGUAGGCGCGAGUCAUAAGCUUGCGUCGAUUACGUCCCUGCCCUUUGUACACACCGCCCGUCGCUACUACCGAUCGAGUGAUUUAGUG
This 519-nucleotide ribosomal RNA is filed under the name uncultured eukaryote. Its description in RNAcentral is "SSU rRNA". It matches the Rfam family "Eukaryotic small subunit ribosomal RNA", at positions 1161 to 1703 of the family's 1831-position model. The record is from RNAcentral.